Molecule: unclassified non-coding RNA, 405 nt
Filed under: soil metagenome
Description: partial contains 5.8S ribosomal RNA, internal transcribed spacer 2, and large subunit ribosomal RNA
Rfam family: 5.8S ribosomal RNA (bases 1-122)
Source: RNAcentral
GAUGAAGAACGUAGCAAAAUGUGAUACUUGGUGUGAAUUGCAGAAUCCCGUGAACCAUCGAGUUUUUGAACGCAAGUUGCGCCCGAAGCCUUUUGGCCGAGGGCACGUCUGCCUGGGCGUCACGCAUCGCGUCGCCCCCCCACAAUUCUCCGUAAAGGGAACAUGUGUUUUGGGGGCGGAUAUUGGUCUCCCGUGCUCAUGGCGUGGUUGGCCGAAAUAGGAGUCCUUUCGAUGGACGCACGAACUAGUGGUGGUCGUAAAAACCCUCGUCUUUUGUUUCGUGCUGUUGCUCGCAAGGUAAACUCUUUAAAAACCCCAAUGCGUCGUCUCUUGACGACGCUUCGACCGCGACCCCAGGUCAGGCGGGACUACCCGCUGAGUUUAAGCAUAUCAAUAAGCGGAGGA